UAGUGAGUUUGAUCCUGGCUCAGGGUGAACGCUGGCGGCGUUCUUAAGACAUGCAAGUCGAACGCAAGUAGAAAUACUUGAGUGGCGGACGGGUGAGUAACGCGUGAGAAUCUGCCUUCUGGUCGGGGACAACCACUGGAAACGGUGGCUAAUACCGGAUAUGCCUAUGGGUGAAAGAUUAAUUGCCAGAAGAAGAGCUCGCGUCUGAUUAGCUAGUUGGAGAGGUAAUGGCUUACCAAGGCGACGAUCCAUAGCUGGUCUGAGAGGAUGAUCAGCCACAC
This 281-nucleotide ribosomal RNA is filed under the name uncultured bacterium. RNAcentral describes it as "partial 16S ribosomal RNA". It matches the Rfam family "Bacterial small subunit ribosomal RNA", at positions 1 to 313 of the family's 1533-position model. The record is from RNAcentral.